Pristis pectinata (smalltooth sawfish) is the source of this 967-nucleotide long non-coding RNA. RefSeq lists it as uncharacterized. NCBI's taxonomy places the organism in Eukaryota, Metazoa, Chordata, Chondrichthyes, Rhinopristiformes, Pristidae. The transcript is spliced from 3 exons. The record is from RefSeq and is a predicted model, not a curated record.
GCAGAUUCCUCAUGAACGGAUUUAAAUCUGGCAAUGAUGGAGUGCUGGUAACGUAUUGCCAUAUCAGCACGGUGGGCUACUUGGAGAGAAACGUGCAGAUGCCAGUAUUCCCAGGCACCCGCUGUUCUUGUCCUUCUUGGUGGGAGAAGUCAUGGGUUUGGGAGAUAAUGUUGGAGUAGGCCAGAACAUGUGGGGAAAGAAUGAUAUAGAAAAUGAAGAACAGAAGAGGAGGUUUUCUCCCAGUUGUAUAAUGUUUCAGCUACCAACUCUGAUAAAACUAUUAUUCACUUGAACAAACAGAUAAAAGUUCACUCAGCUAAAAGAAGAGAUCUCCAUUGGUAAAGUACUCCCUCAGAAGCUCACCAAAAGCUUAGAAACCAUCAGCUUUCUCCACUUGAUAACUCAGCUAAAGCCUGGAGGUUAACCAGCACAGCUAAUGGUGCUGGAGCCAAUCCGCUGAUCCCUGUCAAUGCUUGCGACGUCCAGCUGCAUCCAAAUAGGUUUUCAGUUGUAGAGAGCUAAACAACCUGAGCUGGAACACCUGAGAAGCAGAGCAGGCUCCUAGAGACAAGGGGGCCUCUGGCAGCAUACCUCUGAAGUCCUGCCCUCGAAAUGUCGCAGCGGCUUUUGACAGGUUGAUGCAGAAUGUGAGGCUCCUCUCUCCUACAUGUCAGUGCUCUGCUCCUGCAGUGGAGCAGGAGAUCAGAUGACUUUGUUGCUUCAUACCUGCACAUUCGGUCCAGCAUGCACAAAGUCCAGAAUGAGCCGAGCUGUGAGAGGCAGACAGGCAGUGGUUUCCUGCCGAAUACCUUUGAGAUCCACUGGUGGUCAAUCAGCUCGAUUCGGCCCAUUGAUUCUUCAAAAGGAAACGAAGUGGAUAUGGAUAAGGAGCAAUGCAGCAUAUAGUUUAUUGGGCUACAGAUAACAGGAUAGCUGAUGAAAUAGAUCACAGGAUGGCAAUAGCAAG